Long non-coding RNA from Oryzias melastigma (Indian medaka), 758 nucleotides. RefSeq lists it as uncharacterized. The record is from RefSeq and is a predicted model, not a curated record. NCBI's taxonomy places the organism in Eukaryota, Metazoa, Chordata, Actinopteri, Beloniformes, Adrianichthyidae. The transcript has 3 exons.
AGCAGGUGUAAAAACAAAAGAAACUGGAGUCAGUUCAUGGAGAACCAGCGCAGCCUAAAGCUCUGAAGAGUGAACAGAGUUCAGCAGGUCCACCGACUGUGAUCUGUAAUGAGCGUCUGCAGGAUGGAGAGGUCUUUCAUCCGGACUGACUCACACUGCCCACACGUCUGCUCCACCUCUGUCUGCUCCUCCGCUGCUUUUGUUCACUUUUAUUGCUGGUUAUCAACCCAACUCUUCAGCUCUCAAUGACCGAGGCGACGGUUCAGGAUCCCGUCAGCUGCUCCAUCACCUCGUUAACCUGCAGAGUGGGCGUCGGCAGCAGCCUGGGACGACCAGAACCUCCUCACUACCCCGAGGUGGUCCUAAUAAUCCAGACAGAGAUGCUCCCCUCAUCAUCAUCCGCGCGCGCACUGGUUGCCAUGGUGACGCCUCAUUCAUCAAUCAAAGCUGCCGGAGAGUGCGUUGGUUGGUGAAAGCUGUAAAGAAUAUUUUGAGCUCCAGUAAGGAGGUGACAAGGAAGACAAAUGAUCGUCUCCUUGCUCUGGUUUGGCAUCACAGACCGAUUCCUGCUAGUGUGAAUGCUGUAAGCUGAAAUUGGCCGCUAAAGAUGCUGAAAUUGAUAGCUAAAAAAAGCUGAAGCUGAUAGCCAGUUAAAUAUUAGCUAAGUGCCAGAUAAACGUAAAAAACUAGAAAUAAAAACUUAGGUCAGUCAAAACAGAUAGAAUGUAGCUGGAAAAAUAGAUAAGCUUAAAAAAAAC